Molecule: long non-coding RNA, 2946 nt
Filed under: Equus asinus (donkey)
Lineage: Eukaryota; Metazoa; Chordata; Mammalia; Perissodactyla; Equidae
Description: lncRNA (ENSEASG00005024421.1)
Source: RNAcentral
GCACUGAGUUUCAGACAUGGAGAACCUGCUCUUGUAUCUGAAAAGUGUUACUGCUACCUGGCAGAGCUCCAGUUCCACUCCCAGGGUGAUUGGUACCGUCCUCACCUUCCAGUGUGGACUGGGGUUCUUCCUCAUCUUCCUUCCCUACGUCCAGAAUAAUCCAUCUUCACGACCACCUUGCAAACAUAGAAACAUGAGGAAGGUAAGGAACCCUUGGCCAAGACCCACCAGAAGUUGAUUCUCUCUUCUUUUCUACUGUGAUGUCCACUUUUCUGAAUCAACUAGAGAGACUCCUGGUCCUGGAAUGGGCAAGAAUAGAACAUCACCCUUCUAGCGACAAGCCAGGUGGGGAGGCAGGACUUAGAGUAGGCACAAGGAUUUCCAUGCGAAGAUCUCGGAGCAGGAGUCCAGGUGUGGCUGAGGGCUCCAGGCAAACUCUCCAGUGCAGUGACCAGCGGCUGAGGACUGGAUGCUGAGCGGGACCUGUGUGGGAAGACAGGCCCUGAGCACUGGUUCCCCAUCUGCCUUCCCGUGGCAGGUGGAUGAGCCGGACCUUUCCUCGUGGGAGCUGAUCUGAGAGCAGUGCUGAGCCCCCGAGAGCCUCCGAGCAGGGCCUGGAGUGGGGCUCUGGCCUCGGGAAGCAGAGUCCUGCCUGAGAAGCUCAGAAGCAUCUGUAGGUCUGAGAAGGUGCGUGUUUCUUGAGCAGAGGACAGUGAUGGAAGAAAUCCAUGGUGGGUCUCACACAGAAAAUCCUUAUGUUCUUCAAAGAAGGAAGACAGCAAAUAGCCAUUUUAUGUUCAAAAGGGAAGAAAGACCACAGAGCUCCAGGAGUUCAGUAUAGAAGGUCCUCUUGCUCAUGAACGCUGAGCGUCUGCAGCUGGCCUAGACAGAGGAGAGGGAGCACUGGGUCUCAGCCCCUGGUGUCUUUAGUUUUUUCUCGCUUCUCAGCAUCAAGAGCAGCCGAGGGGGAGGAGCAGCAGGAGUAGGAGGAAAAGUGGAACUUUGCAAGCUUACAGAGAUGGUCAGAAAGGACUAGAAGAAGUGCGGGGCCUGAUUUCUCUUCCACAAAGAUCAAGAAUCUUUUCAUCUCUCCUGGGUCCCUCUUUCUCCCAGAACCUCUGAUGUGGCUCCAGGGCUGUAGGCAGCUUGGGACUGAGCUGGGAGGGGGCCAUGGGGACAGGGUGUGGCUAAAGGCCUGUGGUGAGGGACAACAGGAGAAUUUUGUGACUUGAGGGUUGAGGCUGUGGAGGGCCGUGGCCCUUAAUGGCCACACUGCCUGGCCUGCCCAGCCCUCCUGGGACCCUCUGCUCCUGGCUACAGCUUGUGCCUCCUGUCUCCUGCAGUUCCUGGGGAGGUUCUCUCACAAGGCUGGCUUUCAUUGGCUGUCAUGUCCAGACUCCCCUGGGGAGGUCCACAAAACAGCAUAUGCUGAGCCCAUCAGCCAUGCAGGGAGCCUGUGGAAGAUGCUGCCCUCGCCAUGUCGCCAGGAGUUCCCCUGGCUCCUCUGACCGAGCACCCCUGACCUCUCCCAUGGUCCACUUUCCCGCCUCAGCCACCUGUGAAUCUGGGGCCUCUCGGAAGCCAACUUUACCAAGUUCUUGAGAAAACUUCUUCAGUCUUCUCCACCAGAGAAACAUAACAGUUAAAUAACAAAAGAGUCACUUCCUACCCUGGCCCGUCCCCUCUCUGCUCCCUCACCUGUGCGUGAGGAAAUCCAGAAGGCCCUGGAGGGACUCUACCUGGUGAUGGCUGUGGGCCCUCAGAGGCCCCUCUGAUGGACAGGAGGACAGGCCGCCUUCUCAGACCUUCACACUCAGCCUCCCGGGCAGAAGCUGGCAGAGUGGGACGGUCGUGGGGGCCGAGCGAGGCAGUUAGAGUUGAGUCCAGGUUCAGCAAUGGCCAGGAAUGAGCCAAGGGAGGAGAGUAGGGUGGGGCCUCACAAGAUCCCUGCCGUGGGGUAGCAAGACUGGAGGGCAGCUCAGGGUCCCAGUCUUCGGGGGCUGAGGGGCCCAGCGAGCUUGUGGAGUUUGAGGAGGCGCUUCUUUGACGUCUCAUGUUGAGACCCAGUGUGCUGGCCAACUCCCCAAACCGUGAAUGUGCCUGUGAGGAAUCCAGCGUCUCCAGGGUCCAGGACAAGCCCCUCACCACCUACAAAGUCAGUUGCCCAAGAUCCAAAGGAGCUGUGCUUGAAAAUGAAGCUCACCCAUAAGACUGAGCUGUAAAGGAAGGUCGUGUCAGAGACCCAGCCUCAAGGCCAUGCUGCUGGCCGGCUCCUUCGAGACUCUCACACUUGUGUGCUCCAUGCCACACAUGUGUUGGCUUCUCACUGGUCACUGUCCAGGUCCCAGAGGGAAUACAACAGUGGGGACGUGGCAGCUUGCCAGGUGCCAUAUGACCUCCAAUCUAGUAGACGGGGGAUUCAGGGGCAGCAGCAGCCUAGGAGACCAAAACGUAAGGCCCCAUGGAAGAGUCGGCUUCCCCAAGUUGCUGAGAAGGAGGAGUAUAUGAGUCCCGGACCAGGAGAGGAUGGAGAGAGAUUUCCAGGACUGGGGGCUUCCCAGGCCAGUGGGAUGAGCCACUCUCCCCUGGUCAGCGGAAUAGGAGACAUCCUUGGGAGCAAAGACCUCCAGCUCCUGCCAGAGAAGGAACAGGGUUUUCCAGAACGCUGAUUCAGGAAGAGGAUGAGACUCCUUCUGCCCUGUCUGAAGCCCAGUAAAGAAGACAAAGCACCAGAAGAUCCCCUUCCAGAAGGCCAGCCUGCGUCUGCCACGGCCCAGAGCCAGGGACCAGUCAGAAACAGCUCAGUUCUAGACGGCAGGGCUGUUGAAGCUCAGCCGAUGGUGAUAUCUUUUGGACUAGCCCUGGGAGAGAAAUUGGGGCUUUGCUGAGGACUUCACAUCUCCCAGUUAAAGCAGCACCAGGAACAAUUUCAGGCCUGGGUAGCGG